CCUACGGGGGGCAGCAGUGGGGAAUAUUGGUCAAUGGACGGAAGUCUGAACCAGCCAUGCCGCGUGAAGGAAGACUGCCCUAUGGGUUGUAAACUUCUUUUGCAGCAGAGCAAUAAGGCGUACGCGUACGCCGAUGAGAGUAUGUUGCGAAUAAGCAUCGGCUAACUCCGUGCCAGCAGCCGCGGUAAUACGGAGGAUGCGAGCGUUAUCCGGAUUUAUUGGGUUUAAAGGGUGCGUAGGCUGUUUUGUAAGUCAGCGGUGAAAGACCGGGGCCCAACUCCGGAAGUGCCGUUGAUACUGCAUUGCUAGAGUUCCCCUGCCGUGGGAGGAAUGAGUGGUGUAGCGGUGAAAUGCAUAGAUAUCACUCAGAACACCGAUUGCGAAGGCAUCUCACGAAGAGGCAACUGACGCUGAGGCACGAAAGCGUGGGGAUCAAACAGGAUUAGAUACCCCGGUAGUC
RNAcentral lists this ribosomal RNA (460 nucleotides) under uncultured Rikenellaceae bacterium. Its description in RNAcentral is "bacterial SSU rRNA". It matches the Rfam family "Bacterial small subunit ribosomal RNA", at positions 338 to 795 of the family's 1533-position model. Lineage: Bacteria; Pseudomonadati; Bacteroidota; Bacteroidia; Bacteroidales; Rikenellaceae. The record is from RNAcentral.